UACGUAGGGUGCAAGCGUUGUCCGGAAUUAUUGGGCGUAAAGAGCUCGUAGGCGGUCUGUCGCGUCGGCUGUGAAAUCCCGAGGCUCAACCUCGGGUCUGCAGUCGAUACGGGCAAACUAGAGUAUUGCAGGGAGACUGGAAUUCCUGGUGUAGCGGUGAAAUGCGCAGAUAUCAGGAGGAACACCGGUGGCGAAGGCGGUCUCUGGGCAAUAACUGACGCUGAGGAGCGAAAGCGUGGGAGCGAACAGG
RNAcentral lists this ribosomal RNA (250 nucleotides) under uncultured bacterium. RNAcentral's name for it is "partial 16S ribosomal RNA". It matches the Rfam family "Bacterial small subunit ribosomal RNA", at positions 524 to 776 of the family's 1533-position model. The record is from RNAcentral.